This 73-nucleotide transfer RNA is filed under the name Ailuropoda melanoleuca (giant panda). It matches the Rfam family "tRNA". From Rfam's summary of the family: Transfer RNA (tRNA) molecules are approximately 80 nucleotides in length. Their secondary structure includes four short double-helical elements and three loops (D, anti-codon, and T loops). Further hydrogen bonds mediate the characteristic L-shaped molecular structure. tRNAs have two regions of fundamental functional importance: the anti-codon, which is responsible for specific mRNA codon recognition, and the 3' end, to which the tRNAs corresponding amino acid is attached (by aminoacyl-tRNA synthetases). tRNAs cope with the degeneracy of the genetic code in two manners: having more than one tRNA (with a specific anti-codon) for a particular amino acid; and 'wobble' base-pairing, i.e. permitting non-standard base-pairing at the 3rd anti-codon position. Lineage: Eukaryota; Metazoa; Chordata; Mammalia; Carnivora; Ursidae. The record is from Rfam by way of RNAcentral.
GCCUGGCUGGCUCAGUCUGUAGAGCAUGUGACUCUUGAUCUCGAGGUUGUGAGUUCAAGCCCCAUGCUGGGCU